RNAcentral lists this ribosomal RNA (778 nucleotides) under uncultured Neocallimastigales. RNAcentral describes it as "partial large subunit ribosomal RNA". It matches the Rfam family "Eukaryotic large subunit ribosomal RNA", at positions 26 to 645 of the family's 3401-position model. The record is from RNAcentral. Lineage: Eukaryota; Fungi; Neocallimastigomycota; Neocallimastigomycetes; Neocallimastigales.
CGUCUAUAUACGUAUAGCAUAUCAAUAAGCGGAGGAAAAGAAACUAACUAGGAUUCCCUCAGUAACGGCGAGUGAAGCGGGAAGAGCUCAAAUUUGAAAUCUUCAAGGUUUUACCUUGACGAAUUGUAGUUUAAAGAAGUGUUUUCUGUUGGAGUUUUGGUAAAAGUUCUUUGGAAAAGGACAUCAUGGAGGGUGAGAAUCCCGUACUGACCAUUUAUUCCAGCUCUGUGAUACACUUUCAAAGAGUCGGAUUGUUUGGGAAUGCAGUCCAAAAUGGGUGGUAAAUUUCAUCUAAAGCUAAAUAUUGGCGAGAGACCGAUAGCGAACAAGUACCGUGAGGGAAAGAUGAAAAGAACUUUGAAAAGAGAGUUAAACAGUACGUGAAAUUGUCAAAAGGGAAGCGUUUGACACCAGUGUUGUUUUCUCGAAAAUCAAUUAAAAAUGGCUGGAUUUUGUGUGUAUGCGACCUUUAUCAGCGUUUCUGCAUCUCUUUUCUUGUCCUUUUUAAUGCACUUUUCGUUUAACAAGUCAACAUCAAUUUCUUUUGUUGUAAAAGAGGUCAUUGGAAGGUGGCUUUCUUUUCGGAGAAAGUGUUUAUAGUCCUUUGGCUUCUGCAAUCGGAGAGAUUGAGGUCUGCAGCGUAGAUCCUUCGGGGUUAGAUACACUUGUGCUAAGUUAUAGCCUUUCAUAGACAACUUGUUGACUAUGAUUAGUCAUGUCGCUUACUCGCUUAUGCUAUUUUACCUACGCUUAGGAUGUUGAAGUCAUCGUAUCGCGC